UACGGGGGGGGCAAGCGUUGUUCGGAAUUACUGGGCGUAAAGGGCUUGUAGGUGGCCAACUAAGUCAGACGUGAAAUCCCUCGGCUUAACCGGGGAACUGCGUCUGAUACUGGAUGGCUUGAGUUUGGGAGAGGGACGCGGAAUUCCAGGUGUAGCGGUGAAAUGCGUAGAUAUCUGGAGGAACACCGGUGGCGAAGGCGGCGUCCUGGACCAACACUGACACUGAAAAGCGAAAGCCAGGGGAGCAAACAGG
Molecule: ribosomal RNA, 253 nt
Filed under: uncultured bacterium
Lineage: Bacteria
Description: partial 16S ribosomal RNA
Rfam family: Bacterial small subunit ribosomal RNA
Source: RNAcentral